UUGGCCAAAAUAUUUUGUGAUCGUCCCUAAUGACCUUAAUAAUGGUAUGCACUGGUUUGAAGGGACAAACAUCUGCAUUUCAAGUUCAAACAAGGUCUGGAAUAGGAUACCAAAUUUCUCAUUGUGUGCGUCCAUGGAUUUUGGGUGAUAAGUGAUCCCGAUGUGCUUUUUGCUAAAAAAUUUAGGGACAAACAUCUGCAUUUUCAAGUUGGUUUGGGUUGGUCCAGAGGAGCAAACAUACGUAUUAUCAAGUUCAGACGAGGCAAAAAUGGAAUAAAUCAAAUUUCUCGUUUUACAUGUGCUAUAGUUCAUGAAUUUUGGGAUAUAUGUGAUCAUGACGUGUUUUUGGUCGAAAGUUUAUGUGACCUCUGUGUCGACAUUAUUAAUGGUGUGGGUUUGUCUGGAGGAAAAACGUUUGCAUUUUCAAGUUCAAAUAUGGUCAGAAACAAAAAAUUUCAAAUUUCUCGUCUCGUUUUACAUGUGCUAUACUCCAAGGAUUUUGGGUGAUAUAUAUGAUUCUGACGUGUUUUUGGCUAAAAAAAUUGUGGAAGCCCGUGACUACCUAGUUAAUGGUCUGGGUUCGUCAGCAAAGACAAAUGUCUACAUUUUCAAGUUCAAAUGAAGUCAGAAAUGAAAAAUAUAUCAAACUUUAUGUGUAUUAUUAACCCAUGAAUUUUGAGUAAUAUGUGAUCCCUGCGUAUUUUUUAUUGAAA
Molecule: long non-coding RNA, 713 nt
Organism: Solanum lycopersicum (tomato)
Lineage: Eukaryota; Viridiplantae; Streptophyta; Magnoliopsida; Solanales; Solanaceae
Source: RefSeq, a predicted model, not a curated record